This 287-nucleotide ribosomal RNA is filed under the name uncultured Bifidobacteriales bacterium. Its description in RNAcentral is "partial 16S ribosomal RNA". It matches the Rfam family "Bacterial small subunit ribosomal RNA", at positions 524 to 810 of the family's 1533-position model. The record is from RNAcentral. Lineage: Bacteria; Bacillati; Actinomycetota; Actinomycetes; Bifidobacteriales.
UACGUAGGGCGCAAGCGUUAUCCGGAAUUAUUGAGCGUAAAGAGCUUGUAGGCGGUUCGUCGCGUCUGGUGUGAAAGCCCAUCGCUUAACGGUGGGUCUGCGCCGGGUACGGGCGGGCUAGAGUGCAGUAGGGGAGACUGGAAUUCCCGGUGUGACGGUGGAAUGUGUAGAUAUCGGGAAAAACACCAAUGGCGAAGGCAGGUCUCUGAGCUGUUACUGACGCUGAGAAGCGAAAGCGUGGGGAGCGAACAGGAUUAGAUACCCUGGUAGUCAAGGGCGAAUUCGUU